Molecule: ribosomal RNA, 736 nt
Filed under: uncultured bacterium
Lineage: Bacteria
Description: bacterial SSU rRNA
Rfam family: Bacterial small subunit ribosomal RNA
Source: RNAcentral
GUGGAGGGAUCAAAUUCCUAAGAUAUACGGAAGGAGACGGCAAACCGCGAAAGGCAGCUCUCUGUGUCUCCCACUGACGCUGGGGGUGCGGAGAGCAUGAGGAGCAGACAGAAUUAGAUAUCCUGGUAGUCCAUGCUGUAAACGAUGUCGACUUGGAGGUUGUUUCUUUGAGAAGUGGCUUCCGAAGCUAACGCAUUAAGUCGACCGCCUGGGGAGUACGGCCGCACCGCUAAAACUCAAAUGAAAUGACGGGGGGCGGCACAAGCGGUGGAGCAUGUGGUUUAUUUUGAUGCAACGCGAAGAACCUUACCUGGUCUUGACGUCCAUAAAAUAUUUUAGAGAUAAAAAAGAGCCUCUCUCGGAAUUAUGAGACAGGUGCUGCAUGGCUGUCGUCAGCUCGUGUUGUGAAAUGUUGGGUUAAGUCCCGCAACGAGCGCAACCCUUGUUCUCUGUUGCCAUCAGGUUAUGCUGGGAACUCAGAGGAGACUGCCGGUUAUAAGCUGGAGGAAGGUGGUGAUGACGUCAAGUCAUCAUGGCCCUUACGACCAGGGCUACACACGUGCUACAAUGGCAUAUACAAAGAGAAGCAAAUCUGCGAAGACAAGCAAAACUCAUAAAGUAUGUCUUAGCUCGGACUGGAGUCUGCAACUCGACUCCACGAAGUCGGAAUCGCUAGUAAUCGUGGAUCAGAAUGCCACGGUGAAUACGUUCCCGGGCCUUGCACUCACCGCCCGUC